GGGUAAGGUAAAAGAGGGUUUUUGAAUGUUUUUAAAACUUCAAAAACCCUCAAUUUCUCAACCCGGGUGUUGGAAACAUUUUUAUAAAUUGAAUAUUAGUUAUUACCAAUACUUGCCUUUUCAUACCUUUGAUCCAAACAAUAUAAAAUUAGUAAACCAUCAUUUAUUUUACCUUCAUUUCAAACAACGUAAUAUUAAAAAGUUUUAAUUUACCUUGCUUUACCUCCUUACACCCCUUUCAAACGAAACAAAGUGUAAAGAAAGGAAAUGAAAACUUGAUCUUCAUUAUUGCCUUUUCAUAGGAGAAGCCUUGCACAGGCAAUAGGGAGCAAACCAAGAAUGCAUUAAAACGCAAUGCCCACCAGCUGUGGCAGAUCACUGCCUCACCUGGAAAGCCUGUGGUGUCAAUCCUUAUUCAACUGGGAAUCUGCCUGUAUAGGAGAUUCAAUUCUUGCAAAAAAGAACAGAAAUCAAUAAAGGUGAAGACUGAAAGGGAAAAAAGAAAUUCUUCGAGCGCAAAAAUGACAGAAAAUGUUGAGUAUCUGAUAGAUAGGCUUACUCAGGAACGAGAGUCCAAGUUCUAACUGAAUGAUACAAGCCACAGAUUACUGGGAAAUCUACACUACACAGGAUGCAUUAUGUUGUAUCCCAUAUUUUCUUUCCACAAUUGCAAUUGUGACUCCUAAAGGCAUCUAUGAGAAUUAGCAAAUACUCAUACAAACAUAGGAUAAAUUGAACUCAGCAGAUCAAUUUUAUGUAGCAAGUCAUUUACUGCAUUCAACAACAACAACUUCUUAAAUUCUAUGUACAGCUGCUAAAGGUAGGUAAGUGUGCUUGAUCAAAGUUCAUUGGAGUAAAGGCACUCAUCCACAAGUUGGCGCAGAUUCGGAUUCUCUAGUGCAGCAGCAACUCUUUCUUUAUCGUUUAACUGCUUAUUCACUGCCAAAGACAAAUGGCAGAAACAGUUUAGCUAGGGGCGCUAGACAGAGAUCAACUAGAUGCAUAAAGGGGACAAUCACAUGUAGCAUCCUAAUACUCGGAAAAAAAAAAAAAGGGCACAAACACAAACAGAGAUGAAAAGAGCAAAAGCCAGUAUCUCUUCAUACCUCUCACAUAAAUAUCAAGGUUGAGAUAUGUUAGUGAACGGGUAUGAACAUGCUCUAGGGUGAUAACUGGACUAGUUGAAUAAAUUAACAUGUAUGCUUUCUAGCAUGAAGGCAACAUAAAUGGACAAGGUAGCAAAACAAAAAGCACCAAAACUAAUGCCAAGUUUAACUUCACCAGAUUCUUCAUCAGCAUGAGAUCCGGGAGAAACUUUAAUGUCAACCUGUGGAAAAAGCAGCAUCAAACUUAUGAAUCAGAAAAUAUCUUAUAAUUAUGAAUUAUUCAAUACCAUUUUCAUAUCAAAAUGCAUUACUAUCCCCAAGUGUUCUUCCAAACAUGCAGAGAUGCCUAUGGUUAAAAGGCAUAAAAUAUGCAGGGCCAAAAAGAACCCAAAAUAGAUUGGCGUUGGAACUAAGUAUCAAUAUUCAAGCAUCUAAAAGAAAAGUUGCAAUGACUUGGUCUCCGUAGAAAAUUCAAACACAUCAUGAUAUUCUGCCUCAUGGCAGAUUAGUUAUUCACUGUAGGGCUUAUUAUUUCACUGGCAUGCAAUAUUUUUAACUUUUUCCUCCCGUGCGAAGCUGUUUCGGCUUCCAAUUGGAUUAGCACUUGUGUGCCGCAACAACCCAGAAAUAACCUGUAAAAAAGUCCCUACGUCCACUUAUAAAGUAUAACAUCCAUAUUGAUCCAAUUUAUCGAUUGCUAUAAUUUUUGCAAGCAAGUGCAUGUAAAUGAUCAAUUAUAUAUGCAAUAUGAAAUGAAUGGGGAAAUUGCUCAGCAACUUAGACUGCUAAACAUAUCAGGAAGUGAUAAAUGUAAGUUAGUCAUUCCAGAAACAAAGAUAUAGUACCAAUGUAUCAUAACACAGAUAAGAGCACAGAGAUAGAUAUAUAGCAAAUUUAGCAAUUAACACCAACACUGACCUUAUAAUGGGGAGGGAAACAUUCUUGUAAUUUUACUCUAAGACAAAGACCAAUAACUGUUGCCAUGCUGCAAUGUUGGAUGGUUGGAGUAAACGUAAUCAGAAUACGGCCGAGCUUGUCAUCAACAGUGAUCGAUUCCUCUGAGAGAACACUGAGCUGUUCCAAUGAAUAUGGAUGCUCUGGAUCUCUUAUAUCCCUCACAAAAUUUGCAGUUCCAGUCAAAGAUCACUUUUUUUUAAAAGAAAAUAUCAAAAAAGAAAAAAUAAUAAAAGAAAAGGCAUGAAAAACACUAUUAAACACUGAACUGAGUCCACAAAAAUUAAAAUCCACAAAAGAAAAACAGUAGCGCAGGAAAAGGAUAUCAUAGAUUUCAAGUGGAUCCACAGAGUCAUCGCAGUGAAGAUCUUCGGUGCGGGCGACCCUUUCCUUCUUAGCAUGAACCACCGGGUUGGCAUUGAUGAGACCCAGAGUCAUAUCUCUUGCUCUUGUGAUUUCUUCUGCUCUGUUUGUUGGCUUCCCUGUCUUGCUUUGUUAUUUUCUGUUGGGAGUCACAGGCAAUAAGGAAAGAGGAAUGGCUUUUCCCUGUGCUAAUCAAAGCGGGUCAUGUGAGUUUACUUUGCGAGUGAUUAGUGAUUUGCGCUGAAACCCGCAGCCGCAGUUGAUUCUCCGGUGUUAGGUGUCGGAUUA
RNAcentral lists this unclassified non-coding RNA (2711 nucleotides) under Hevea brasiliensis (rubber tree). The record is from RNAcentral. Lineage: Eukaryota; Viridiplantae; Streptophyta; Magnoliopsida; Malpighiales; Euphorbiaceae.